Molecule: ribosomal RNA, 440 nt
Filed under: uncultured bacterium
Lineage: Bacteria
Description: partial 16S ribosomal RNA
Rfam family: Bacterial small subunit ribosomal RNA
Source: RNAcentral
CCUACGGGAGGCUGCAGUAGGGAAUAUUGCUCAAUGGGGGAAACCCUGAAGCAGCAACGCCGCGUGGAGGAUGAAGGUUUUCGGAUUGGAAACUCCUUUUGUUAGAGAAGAUAAUGACGGUAUCUAACGAAUAAGCACCGGCUAACUCCGUGCCAGCAGCCGCGGUAAUACGGAGGGUGCAAGCGUUACGCGGAAUAAGUGGGCGUAAAGAGCGCGUAGGCGGGAUAGCAAGUCAGAUGUGAAAUCCUAUGGCUUAACCAUGGAACUGCAUUUGAAACUGGUAUGCUAGAGUAUGGGGGAGGUAGGUGGAAUUCGUGGUGUAGGGGUGAAAUGCGUAGAGAUCACGAAGAAUACUGAUUGCGAAGGCGGCCUGCUGGAGCGUAACUGACGCUGAUGCGCGAAAGCGUGGGGAGCGAACAGGAUUAGAUACCCCUGUAGUC